GGGAGGAGAGGGAGUGGGCACAAAUUGGACAGGAGAGAUGGGAGAGGGCAAGGUCAUGGUCAAUAGAGAGGGGAGCGGUCAGAGCUCGUUGAGAAGUUUCAAAAAGAAGGUAAGAGAGGUUGUAGAGAGAGCUCCACCAAGCAUCGUAGGCAUGAGGUGUAUAGACCAGAUGUGGUUCGAGUUCAGAAGAAAGAAGAUGGUGGCAGUGGAGGAAGAGAAAAAUUGGCAGGGGUGAGGGGGGAGGAGGAGAAGAGGAUGAACUUGCAUCAUCCCCAUCUUCAAAGUAGGACAAGCGGUCACGACGGUGUUUGUGGCUGCUAUGGAGGGAGGAGGCAUAGCAGAGGACAGAGGUGAUGGUGAAGAGGGGGGGC
Molecule: long non-coding RNA, 371 nt
Filed under: Elaeis guineensis (African oil palm)
Lineage: Eukaryota; Viridiplantae; Streptophyta; Magnoliopsida; Arecales; Arecaceae
Description: long non-coding RNA (EGUI_LNC014779)
Source: RNAcentral